Molecule: ribosomal RNA, 375 nt
Filed under: Triticum aestivum (bread wheat)
Lineage: Eukaryota; Viridiplantae; Streptophyta; Magnoliopsida; Poales; Poaceae
Description: partial small subunit ribosomal RNA
Source: RNAcentral
AUGUACUUUUGUGCAAGGACGAGGCAACAAACAACUAACACCUCUUACAAUCUACCUUUAGUGUUAUCUUCUCUAUUGCAAGAUUUCCAAGAUGUAUUCCCCGACGAGCUAGCUCCGGGUAUACCUCCCCUUCGAGGCAUCGAACACCACAUCGACCUCAUCCCCGGAGCACCCCUUCCUAACAAGGCACCAUACCGCGUCAACCCCGAGGAAACCAAGGAGAUCCAACAACAAGUACAACAACUCAUCAACAACGGACAUGUACGAGAAAGCUUGAGCCCAUGUGUGAUGAGGACAUCAAUACCAAUGUUGCACCCACAACCCCUGCUACUAUACAUACUGGACAAAUUACAAGAGCUCGCGUACGCCAAUUGA